RNAcentral lists this ribosomal RNA (534 nucleotides) under Crocidura obscurior. RNAcentral describes it as "partial 16S ribosomal RNA". It matches the Rfam family "Bacterial large subunit ribosomal RNA", at positions 1816 to 2586 of the family's 2925-position model. The record is from RNAcentral. Lineage: Eukaryota; Metazoa; Chordata; Mammalia; Eulipotyphla; Soricidae.
CACCUCUAGCAUUACCAGUAUUAGAGGCACUGCCUGCCCAGUGACAUUAGUUUAACGGCCGCGGUAUCCUGACCGUGCAAAGGUAGCAUAAUCAUUUGUUCCUUAAUUAGGGACUUGUAUGAAUGGCCCCACGAGGGUUUAACUGUCUCUUACUUUUAAUCAGUGAAAUUGACCUUCCCGUGAAGAGGCGGGAAUACAAAAAUAAGACGAGAAGACCCUAUGGAGCUUAAAUUAAAGUGUCCAACAAAAUUUAAACUUAAUCCAACAGGAAUAAUAACAUUUUAACUGGACAACAAAUUUUGGUUGGGGUGACCUCGGAGUAUAACAAAACCUCCGAGCGAUUAUAACCAAGACUUACCCGUCAAGGUGACAUAAUUUAUUGAUCCAAUCAUAUUGAUCAACGAAACAAGUUACCCUAGGGAUAACAGCGCAAUCCUAUUUAAGAGUCCAUAUCGACAAUAGGGUUUACGACCUCGAUGUUGGAUCAGGACCCCCAAAUGGUGCAGCAGCUAUUAAAGGUUCGUUUGUUCAACG